Molecule: ribosomal RNA, 240 nt
Filed under: uncultured bacterium
Lineage: Bacteria
Description: partial 16S ribosomal RNA
Rfam family: Bacterial small subunit ribosomal RNA
Source: RNAcentral
UACGUAGGGUGCAAGCGUUGUCCGGAAUUAUUGGGCGUAAAGAGCUCGUAGGCGGUCUGUCGCGUCGGCUGUGAAAACUCGGGGCUCAACCCCGAGCCUGCAGUCGAUACGGGCAGACUAGAGUGCUGUAGGGGAGACUGGAAUUCCUGGUGUAGCGGUGAAAUGCGCAGAUAUCGGGGAGGAACACCGGUGGCGAAGGCGACUCUUUGGCCUGUAACUGACGCUGAGGCGGCGAAAAGC